Molecule: long non-coding RNA, 1653 nt
Organism: Macaca fascicularis (crab-eating macaque)
Lineage: Eukaryota; Metazoa; Chordata; Mammalia; Primates; Cercopithecidae
Source: Ensembl
GACUAUGCUAGUUGUAUGCGUGUAAGAGACCCACAAGCAAACGAGGACGCCACUCGGGGGGAGGGCAGGGAUCCCCACUUGUCUUUUUUGUAUUUUUUAUUUUGUAUUAUUGAAAGCCUUGGAGAUCUCACAGAUAUGCCAAAUUCUAUAUUUUGUAAAUUCUCUAUAUUAGAAAACAGCCGUGCACAGCGAGGCGUGUGCUCAUUUGUACUGUGCGUAUGUUGGCGUAUGUACUGGUGUAUAUGUGUGUGUGUUCAUGCUGUGGAACUGGUCUCACACAGGAUGCGUUUCCCUCCUUUCAGAUUUGGCAGUUUUGGGUUUUCGCAGGUACCACCAGAGCAGUGGGUGUGUGCUUUUGGGGUACCAUAUGCUCAGCUUAAGGAGGAGGAUGCAUGGACACAUUGCCCCAUCUUUCUCUGACACACGCACACGUGUGUACACACAUGCACACACCCUGCUUCCCCUAAGCAAAACGCAGAUGGAAUGAUAAACAAAAAGCUGCUUUCCCAUCCCAGGCCGAGCUGGAACCAAGGGAAGCAACCUCAUCCUGAGGCAGGCAGUGUGGCGCCCUCCACCCUCCACGCCCUGAGAUUUCAGACGUUUGCUGCUUACAGAGGCGGCUCCCCCGGAUUCUGGAGUGCUUACAGAAGGCCGGGUGCUUUGCAGGCUGGGGCAAGAAAGCCAAGCCUCCCUGGCCUACUCAGUCGGCCAAGGUGCAGGUGGCUCUUCCGGGAGCUGUGCACUCAGACAGGGUUGCACUCAGACAGGGUUGCAAUGUGCAGCCCUCAGGUUUGAGGAAAGGGAGUGGCCUUGACCUCCACCGGCAAACCAGGCAGAGGAAUGGGUAGAGCCCAGCUUUAGAGUCCACAGGGAAAGCUAGCAGGAAUUUUGUUUUAUCGGGAGAAGGCAGUUAAAUAUACCAAGAAAAAAAUACUAUUUUUAUAAGCUAUGAGGAAGGCAUUUGGAAAAUGAUACUCUACCACAGAAUUCGAUGGACUCCUUAGGGCCCAUGCCCAAAUCUUCCCAUUGCUUCUCAGGUUAGAAUGAUCCUCACCUCCAACAUGAGCUUGGAGGCGAUGAGGCGGUGGCUCUGUGCCAGCUGCCACAAUGUGACUUUGAUAUCCACCUGCACCACCUCUCACUGGGCUCUAGCACCACCCUCCCCUCGCCGCACACUAAUCCCACCACAAUUCGAACACAGCUCUGAGAAACAAAGUGUGCGGACCCAAAACUGCCAAGCCUGAGUCUGUCCCGUGCUUCUGCUGCUCCAUCCUUUGAGUUCUGCAUUGCCAUCCUGCCGUCGAGGGCUGGAGGCCUGCUUUCUUCCAGCUGUUGUUCUCAAGUUCCCUGCCCCUCCACAUCGCCCGCCAGUGGUGUUGGGUUUUCGUUCUGCUUCCAACCUGAGUAAAGUGUGUGUGCUGAGUUCAUCCCGUGUUCCCCCAUGGUCAUGGCCUCCCGGCCCCAUGGGGACCCCUCUCUCAUCCCAGCAGUGACUGGUGACAGCGUGCAGGUGCAGUGCUAGCUCUUCGUUCCCUCUAAGGGGUGUGCACUCUUUUUAUUCCUACUCUUGCAAAAACAGAUACGAUUAUGAUUUCCCAUGGAAAUUGAAAAGUCUAUUUAAAUAAUUUAACUAUUAAACACUUUCACUGGUAA